UGGCAAAUAAGUGUAUACAAUUCAAGAUGCGUGGCCCAGAGUUUAUAAAAGUGAAUUUUUUAAGUUGAUAUUCUGAUUUGAGUGCGGCAAUUUUUUGUAAUAGUUCAGGGCCCGUCCGGUAGAGAUCGCGGCAGUACAGGCUUCGUUUCUCACUAUAGGAGAUAGCGUUCUGUAUCCUUCCCUGUUCUGUGGGUUGAAGAUGACCGAAAAUAUAGAAUCAAUUAUUUGAUAGAAUGCCGACAGUAGAAAAGAAGACAGAAUGGAUGAGCAAGUAUAUUAAUGUAGAAAAUUUGUGCUGAAAAUUUACACAUUACAUUUUUGCUUUCAUUUACAAGACUGCCAACUGCCACAAGACUGUCUUUAAAAUGUCUGCUGUCACCAUUGAUGACCUCCCGCCAGAAUUAAUGAUGAAAAUCUUUGAGUCCUUGAGGCCGGAGGAACUGUUGAUUGUCCAGGACGUGAGCACCAAGUGGCAGGUGUUUGCUCGAACCUCUUCUGUGUGGGAGACCUUUGUGUAUUCACCAGAGACAGAUUCCAGCGAGGAAGAUGUGAUCGCUUUCUUGGAGAAGUGUCCUAUGUUAAAGCACAUUCGUACCAAAGACAUUUUGGACAAAGAUAAGAUUAUUCCUGCUGUCAUCAAAAAUUGUUAUGAUAUCCACAGUUUUUGUGUUGAGUUCAUGCCAUCACUGGACAUUUCACAACUUGAAGCUUUAUUUGAAGCCUUUCCAAAUAUAGACACUUUGUUGAUCAGGAUUGAGUACCAUAAUGCGUCUGAGAUUGUAGACAGACUGAGUAGAUGUACAAAGCUGAAGAAACUCAUACUAAGUGGUCAGUGUUGUCUUGACGGUGUAUUCAAGCCAAUUGUUGAUGGCUGUCCUUCUUUAGAAUACUUGAGCUUUAAUGGGGGCUUUCCAAAUGUUUCUAAGAGAGAUAUUCUGUAUGUGUUACAAAAUAUGAAUGAUAGGUUAUCGUAUCUGCGGUUUGGGUAUUCCCCGAUAAGACAACAGAUUGUAAACUUACUUGGAACUUUCACCAAACUUGAAGACAUUAUGUUACAUGAUGCCACACAUAACCAUAUUGUGGAUUUUAAACCCCUGGCCAACAUCAAAACCUUGAAGUGUUUGAAAUUUGAGUCUUUUGCUUCAGAAUUCAGUGAAAUGUGCAGGUUUUUAGAUGUUUUGUUUGGUCAACCUUUUCCUUUGCUUGAAAAGUUGGACAUAUGUUUUUUUCAUUGUGAGUAUGACAAGACUGUGUUACAGAAAAUUUGUCAAUGUUACCCAAACUUGAAAUAUUUGCGCUUGUAUGGAAAACAUCCUGCUGACAUCAAAGAUGGUUUUAAGGACAUCUGUAAGUUGCAGAGACUAGAAAGUCUGGGAUUUUCUUCAAGUCGGACAGUAACGGAUGAAGAUAUUGAAACGUUAAGUCACUGCCUUAAGCUGAAAGAACUUGACUUAAGUGCAAAUCACUUGCUUACAGAUAAAACCAUUGUGCACCUUGCGAAAUGUAAGGCCCUAGAAACACUGGACCUUAGUUAUUCUUCAAUUACCGGGGAAAACCUGCAUAUUGUUGCUGAAAAUUUGAAACGACUCAAAAAUCUGGAUGUAAAGCAGUGCAAAUAUUUGGAUGAAAAGUAUUUAUUAGCACUUGCUGAUAUGAUGCCUUUUUUAAAUAUAAUUAAAGAUGGAGGUAUUUGUUUUGGUUGAGAUAUUUUUAUAUGAGUGUACAUGAGAUCCAAAUGUUAUUGUAAUGUUAUAAUUUUUUUGGUAUAACAAAUGCUUGUUGUUAUAGAUAAAGGUAAUAUUUGUGGAUUAUCUUCCAUACAUUUAGCACUGACAGUAGUUCCAGUGGAUGGACCUUGAACUAGAUUUUUAAGAAAUGUUAGUGUUCAUUCAUAUAAAUUUUAAAAAAAUUUACUGGUAUGUUUGAAUUAAAAAUAUAAACAAAUUAAUGUAUUAAUUUUAUAAUAUACCUAGUGCUGCUUACAUAAUUGUUAGUUCUGUUGCAUAGCCAGUUGUUUUAACUUCCUAACACAAUAAUGUAAACAAAAUUUAAUAUACUGUAGUUGGAUUUUAUAACCUCAAGUUUAUUUGUUGGUUGUUAUCACAAAUAGUGACCACUAAACUUUGAAAGUACAUGGGACAAUUUUGUCAUUAAAACAUAACUUUUUGUACAUGAAGUAGGUGAAUGCAAUUGAUGUCAAGAAAUAUUUUAUGUUUUUUUAUUUGACAAGUUAUGCAAGUAUGAUUUUAAAAAUUUGUAUAAAUUAAAAUUAUACUAAUAUCAGUAAGAUCUUGUGUUAUGUAAGGCCGGCCACACACGUAACGGUAUACAUGACAGGUAAACCUGUACAGGUCACCUGCGCAGGCAAACCGGAGCGUGUGUGCCAGUCACUGCAGGCGAAACUGCACAGGCGAAGCGACCUGCGCAGGUGACCUGACAGGAACGGAGAUUUGGUAUCUUGUACCUGCGCAGUCGUCAGUUAUACCCUAGACCUGAGCGUGUGUGUGAGUACGUCCGGUCGCCUGCGCAGUUGUUUUGUUUAGUUGAGGCUUCUUCCUUGUGAAGAGAGUGUCUUUUGUCUUUGUGUUUUGUAGUUAGCGGCUAUCUUGUGGCUACUGGUGCUAGUGAUGUCGAGUCAUAAACGCAACCAAGUAAUUGAAGACUUUAUCGAUAUGUAUAAACUCGAGCCGUGCCUGUGGCGGGUAAAAAGUAAAGAGUAUCACGAUCGCGAAAAGAGAGAUGCAGCUUAUGCGAAACUUUUGCUCAAGUUGAAAGAACUGGAAACCUAUGCAACAAAGAAAUCUGUGAUUAGAAAGAUUAAUAGUUUACGAAGCAAUGUUCGAAAAGAGAAGAAAAAACGUGACAUGUCAAUGAAGUCUGGUGCAUCAGCCGACAAUGUCUACGUAUCUAAAUUGUGGUACUUAAAUUUGUUCGACUUUCUUGGUGAUCAAGACAUUCCCAGUGCAUCUAUGUCCAAUUUAGAGGAAGGAGAUGGGAGCGAGAUUGAGGAAGAGGACGUUGAUGAACCAGCUACAACACCGAGCAGAGAAACAUCAAUCAAUAGCGAGGUCCCUUCGCCUGUGGUCCCAAAACCCAACUCAGAUACACGUGCGAUGUCUGCUGUCACCAUUGAUGACCUCCCGCCAGAAUUAAUGAUGAAAAUCUUUGAGUCCUUGAGACCGGAGGAACUGUUGAGUGUCCAGGACGUGAGCACCAAGUGGCAGGUGUUUGCUCGAACCUCUUCUGUGUGGGAGACCUUUGUGUAUUCACCAGAAACAGAUGAAGAUUUGAUCGCUUUCGUGGAGAAGUGUCCUAUGUUGAAGCACAUUCGAACCAAAAACAUUUUAGACAAAGAUAAGAUUAUUCCUGCUGUCAUCAAAAAUUGUUAUGAUAUUCACAGUUUUUGUGUUGAGUUCAUUCCAUCACUGGAAAUUUCACAACUUGAAGCUUUAUUUGAAGCCUUUCCAAAUAUAGACACUUUGUUGGUCAGGAUUGAGAAACAUAAUGCAGCUGAGAUUAUAGACAGACUGAGUAGAUGUAAAAAGCUGAAGAAACUCAUACUAAGUGGUCAACGUUGUCAUGACGGUGUAUUAAAGCCAAUUGUUGAUGGCUGUCCUUCUCUAGAAUACUUGAGCUUUAUUGAGGGCUUUCAAAAUAAUCCAAAAUUAGAUAUUGUGUAUGUGUUACAAAAUAUGAAUGAUAGGUUAUCGUAUCUGCGGUUUGGGUUAUCCCCGAUAACACAGCAGAUUGUAAAUUUACUUGGAACUUUCACUAAACUUGAAGAAGUUUUGUUACAUGAUUCAACACUUAACCGUAAUGUGGAUUUUAGACCCCUGGCCAACAUCAAAACCUUGAAAUGUUUAAAAUUUCAAACUUUUGCUUCAGAAUUCAGUGAAAUGUGCAGGUUUUUAGAUGUUUUGUUUGAUAAACCUUUUCCUUUGCUAGAAAAGUUGGACAUAUGUUUUGUUCAUUGUGAGUAUGACAAGACUGUGUUACAGAAAAUUUGUCAAUGUUACCCAAACUUGAAAUAUUUGCGCUUGUAUGGAAAACAUCCUGCUGAUAUCAAAGAUGGUUUUAAGGAUAUCUGUAAGUUGCAGAGACUAGAAAGUUUGGGAUUUUCUUCAAGUAAGACAGUAACGGAUGAUGAUAUUGAAUCGUUAAGUCACUGCCUUAAGCUGAAAGAACUUGACUUAAGUGCAAAUCACUUGCUUACAGAUAAAACUAUUGGGCACCUUGCGAAAUGUAAGGCCCUAGAAACACUGGACCUUAGUUAUUCUUCAAUUACUGGGGAUAACCUUCAUAUUGUUGCUGAAAAUUUGAAACAACUCAAAAUUCUGGAUGUAAAGCAGUGCAAAUAUUUGGAUGAAAAGAAUUUAUUAGCACUUGCUGAUAAGAUGCCUCUUUUAAAAAUAAUUCAAGAUGGAGGUAUUUGUUAUGGAUGAGAUAUGUUAUGAGUGUACAUAAGAUGCAAAGAUUAUUAUAAUGUUAUCAGUGCUUUGGUAUAACAAAUGCUUGUUGGUUAUAGAUAAAUGUUAUAUUUGUGGAUUAUUUUCCAUACAUUUAGCACUGAUAGUGGUUCCAGUGGUAGAACCUUGAACUAUAUUUUUAAGAAAUAUUCAUGUUCAUUCAUAUAAACAUAAAAAAAAAUUUCUGGAAUGUUUUAAUUAAAAAUAUAAACAAAUAAUGUAUUAAUUUUAUAAUAUACCUAGUGCUGCUUACAUAAUUGUUAUUUCUGUUGCAUAGCCAGUUGUUUUAACUUCCUAACAAAAUAAUUUAAAUGAAAUUUAAUAUACUGUAGUUGGAUUUUAUAACCUUUAGUUUAUAUGUUGGUUGUUAUCACAAAUAGUGACCACUGACCUUGAAAUUACAUGGGACAAUUUUUUUCAUUCAUUACAUUCAUUUUUUGGUGCAUGAAGUAGAUGAAUGCAAUUGAAGUCAACAAAGAUUUUAUGUUUAUAUAUUUCACAAGUUAAUGCAAAUAUGAUUGUAAAAAUUUGUAAAAAUUUAAAUUGUACUUAAAAUCAAUCAGAUCUUUUUGUUAUGUAACACACGUGCAUAUUUAGUUUCGCUAGUUAUGUACAAACAUAUUAUGUAGAAAAUUAUAAAUUGUACAAAUUCAAACUAUACUUAAUCGGGGCGACUGAAUUGCGCCCCAUUGGAAAGGGCGCAUUUUAGCACACACACAAUUCUUUAAAUCCUGAUAGGCUGCCUUUCUAGAAUGAGUUAUUAACUGAAUUUUAAACCGAAAAGAAUCCUGAAAUGUGCCCCAUUGGAAAGGGUGCCUUUCAGGUUUUUCUACAUAAGCAAAAGAAUUUGUAAAAUCCUGAUAGGCUGCCUUUCCAGAACAUGUUAUAGACUUCCUUUUAAGACAAAACUUAUCCUGAAAUAUGCCCCAUUGAAAAGGGCGCCUUUCAUGUUUUUCUUCAAAUGCAAAACAAUUUACAAAAUUCUGAUAGGCUGCCUUUCCAGGGCUUGAUUUUUGCUUUGUUGUUUGCGGGAAAUUAUCCUGAAUUGUGCCCCAUUGGAAAGGGUGCCUUUCAGAAAUUUUUAGUUUUUGUUAGAUCGUUGUGGGCACUGAAUAGUGCCCCAUUGGAAAGGCCGCCUUUAAGGUUUUUUCCUUAUGCGCAUACAGUUCGUAAAAUCCUGAUGGGCUGCCUUUCCAGAGUUGGCUGUUCGCUUUGUUUUAAGCGAAAGAAAACCCUGAAUUGUGCCCCAUCGGAAAGGCCGCCUUUAAGGUUUUUUCCUUGUGCGCAUACAGUUCGUAAAAUCCUGAUGGGCUGCCUUUCCAGAGUUGGCUGUUCGCUUUGUUUUAAACGAAAGAAAACCCUGAAUUGUGCCCCAUCGGAAAGGCCGCCUUUCAGGUUUUUCCCUUGUAUGCAUACAGUUCGUAAAAUCCUGAUGGGCUGCCUUUCCAGAGUUGUCUGUUCGCUUUAUUUAAAGCGAAAGAAAACCCUGAAUUGUGCCCCAUCGGAAAGGCCGCCUUUCAGGUUGUUUCCUUGUACGGAUACAGUUAGUAAAAUCCUGAUGGGCUGCCUUCCCAGAUUUUUUGUGUAAUUUUGUGUUAAGCCAAAUCUGUCCUGAACAAAAUUAUACAAAUACAAUUAAACAUUAGAUAUUACCAGUGGGUGAAAUUAAUUUUCGGAAUAGUAUAGACCUUCAUUCCUUACAGAAUUUUAAUACGCCUACGCGUAAUUGUUACUUUAAGAAUUGAGUGCUCUCUAGUAUUGAAGACCAGUAACAUAUUACAUACUCUUUGUUCCGGAAACAACUACUGAUGACUCUAAAAGCAAUGCAAAGUUUUUCCAGCAAUGUUAGUUGAUCGUGUGGGAUGAAUGCACGAUGGCACAUAAAAAGUCUUUGAGGGCGUUAGACAGAACUAUGAAAGAUCUGCGAAACAAUAAAAACAUAUUUGGUGGACCGAUGAUUUUGUUAGCAGGAGAUUUUCGUCAAACAUUACCAGUGAUUCCACGGUCAACGCCAGUGGAUGAACUCAGUGCAUGUUUAAAGUCCUCCAUUUUGUGGAAAUACGUCAAGAUACUAAAUUUAAGCAAUAAUGUGCAUGUGGAAUUACAAAAUGAUCGAUCUGGAGAAAUAUUUUCUAAACAACUAAUUGACAUUGGUAAUGGCAAAAUCCCUGUAGAUAUUUUGACUGGCUGCAUUUCAUUUCCUGUCAAUUUUUGUCAGUUUACUGAAACAAAAACCAAGCUCAUACAUAAGGUGUUCCCAAACGUCGCUCAAAAUUACAAAGAUAAUUUUUUGUUGAGCGAACGUGCUAUCAGCUGCCAAAAACACGGAUGUAAAUGAAAUAAACUUCAAAAUUCAAAAUGAAAUUGACUAUAAAUUAAGGACAUACUACAAAUCAGUUGAUUGCGCAACUAAUCAAGAUGAUGUCAACUAUCCCCCAGAAUUUUUGAACUCAUUGGAUUUGUCAAGAUUGCCACUCUAUAAUCUUCAAUUGAAAGUAGGAUCAGUAGUAAUAAUGUUAAGAAAUAUUAACCCUCCGCAUCUUUGUAACGGUACACGUCUAGAAGUGAAAAAUUUACUUAACAAUGCAGGGGUCGAAAAUGGUCACUUAACUCGCUUACAGUCACUUAUUUUGCAUCAAUCACUUUUUUGUCACUUUUUUUUUUAAACAGUCACUUAAUUUACUUUUUUUUCUUUCGAUAUUGGUGCCCAAAAUUUGCAUUUCCGUUUAUGAUAGUGACAUUAAUUAAAUGCUUGAUUUGUGUUUUUGACCGUAAUCAAGGUAUUUGCCGUUUACCAUAACACGGAUUGUGUCGAGAUCGUUUUUUACAUGCGUAAAAGCAUAAACAACAACUGAAGUCGAACUAUCCAUUAAUCGAUCGGCUGACGUGAUGGCAGAUAACCUAUGUUCGCGCCAGUGUGUUCUGUAGUUAGUCUGAUUACGGUCUUAAGUUAGUUUUGUCCUUAGGGGCCUUGGCUAGCGAUAUGACUUGUCAUGCUAUACUAUUAUUUGAGAUAAACAAGUAACCGAGAAAUAAUAUUGUAGUGUUUUGAUGUUUUCUUGUGUGGUGAAGAUGGGGAAGUGUCGUUUUCGUAGCGAGUGGCUAGAGAGGCGCGAUGAUAAUGGAUAUAUCAUUAACGAGUGGGCAAAAAAACGUAACAAUACUGAUGUUGUUUGUGCAGUUUGCUGUGUCACAAUCAAAAUAUCAACCAAAGGGUAUCAAGCACUAUCUCAGCAUGCUACUUGCGAGUGACAUAAGAGUGAAUGUCAGAAUAAGUUGGCUCCUAGUCAGCUAAAAUUCACGGUCGUUCGACCUUCAUGUUCAGCUUCCACAUCAAGUGAAGUUCCCUCAGAAAACCAUGUUAAAUGUCUUUACAGUGUACGAGAUCGUGCAACAAGUGCAGAACUGAAAUGGGUAAUGAAAUGUAUUAUUUCAAAUUAUUCAGCAUCAUCUUGUGGAGGAAUAGCUGACGUUUUUAAAAGUAUGUUUGGUGAGGGUGUGCCUGAGGACUUCAGCCUGAGCAGCACUAAAUUUAGUUAUCUACUAACAGAUGCAUGAAGCCCAUAUUUUCGCAAUGUUAUUUUGAAAGACAUGGAUGGUGCAUACUAUUCAGUAUGCUACGAUGAAACAACAAACCACACAGGUAGAAAGGAACUGCAAAUUGCUAUCAGGUACUGGUCUAAAACGAAGCUACAGAUUAUCACUCACCAUCUUGAAACCUUUUUUAUUGGAUCAGCAACAGGCAAAAUACUAGUUGAGAAUAUUAAUUCUGCACUAGACAAUACCGAGUUACUUCGUCAGAAGGUAUUAAUGUUAGGGAGUGAUGGCCCUAAUGUCAACAAGAAAGUUGCUCGUAUUAUAUGUGAAGAGUUGGUUUCUAUUCGCAAGGCACCCAUUUUUAAUAUUGGCACAUGCAGCAUCCACACACUUCACAAUGCAUUUCUCAGUGGACUUGAUAAACUUGGAGAAGAUGUAGCUGAUUUGGUAAUGGCUGUCCAUGAUUUUUUUUAUUGUUGGCCUUCAAGAUGUGAGGACUACUUACAAAUACAAGAUGACCUAUCUGUUCCAAAACAUAGUUUCAUUAAGCAUGUUCCGUCAAGGUGGCUUACCUUAGAAGGAGCUGCAUCACGACUGAUCGAACAAUGGGAAGCUCUCAAAAAAUACUUCUUAAGUUAUGUCCCCAAGAAGAGAAAUAGCCUAGGCAAGAGCAACAACUACAAGAGAAUAGUGAGUUUACUAAAGAAGCCUACUAUAAAGGAUGAACUUCUUUUCGUGUGCAGUAGUGCCAGACUAUUCACACGCUUCACUGGUGCAUUCCAGAAGGAAGAACCAAUGAUACAUGUUAUGCAUGAUGAACUAGACACUCUUGCUAAGAGUUUGUUUGGAAAGGUUUGCAAAUCAGAACUUAUACAAACUGUUGGUGUACGUGAAGAUUUACUAAAAACAGAGAACCUACUUCCUGCCCAGAAAAUCCAUGUUGAGAAAGAGAUUUUGACAGAAAUUUCAAAGGUAAGUUCUAGAUUUAGUUGUUUAAGAUUUAAUUCAAAUUGUUCUUUCAGGGUGGCCACUUGACCUGGAAUUUUUUUUACCCCCUGUAAGGAACAGUAGGGAAUUUUUUUUUAAGAACAUGGAAUCAUUUUUGUUUUGCAAUAUAUUUCUUAUAGUAGCCUUUCAUUUUUAACUUUGGUUCCAACGUGUAAACAAUGUACUAAAUUAUGCACAGAUCAUCGCAGUAAGUGCAAUAAACCAUUUUGCAAUUGUCUAGAAUAGAGGCAUUUUCAAAAAUGUUUAAAAAAUUAGAAUAUUUAUUAAUUAAAUAGUAUUCACCUCCUUUAAUGACACUGUAAAAGAUUUUUUUGAAUUUGGAAUUUUUUUUACCCCUAUUAUCAACCUCCCCCCUCAAGGCUAGUUUAAUACGUUUGUGCCUGCUGGUUUUUUUGAAAUAUCUAUCAUUUAUUUUUAAAAAGGAGAUCCCUAAAAAAAAAAACUAGCAGGCAGGAGGUAUGAUUAACUUACCUCGAAAUGUUAUUGAUAAUAGGGGUGAAAAAAAUUCUAAUUUAAAAAUAAUUUUAGGUUAUUAAUGAGAAAGGUUGUUACUAUUGAGUGCACCCUAUUUUCAAAUUUUAAUUUGACAUUUUUUUAAGUUUUUCCACACGAGACCCUUUUCUAGACAAUUACCAACAAUUUUACACCUGGUAAAUUUGUUGUAGGAUUUGCUUUUGCAGUUAGGAUAUAUAAGUAUAUAUAGUGGGCACCCUAACUCUUGGUUCGAAACACAUUUACAAAUCAUUAAGGGUAUAUGUUACAGGUGGAUGAAAGGUUUCAGCUGGAGUUUUUGGCCGGAGUGAAAAACCAUUAUGUUGAAGGUGUUACUCAUGUUAUCAGAAAGUCACCCCUAAUAUUGAAACCACUUCUGAAGAAUUGCUGUUGCCUCCAGCCAGAAGAAAGGGUUUUACACCGCAGUUAUCGAGACAUUGUUGCUCUAGCAAAGGGUCUGCCCAUUGUAAUUGAUGAAAGUAUUCUGUUAGAUGAAUGGAAACUACUCCAGUGUGAAAAGGAAAGUGUGUGUGGUGGCCGUAUAGAUGACUACUGGGCUCAGUUUUUUGUUUUGAAGAACAGCAUUGGUGAUGAUAAAUACCCAAACGUUGCUAAAGUUGUAAAAUCUGUUUUGGCUCUUUCACACGGAAAUGCUGACUUAGAGCGAGGGUUUACUUUGUCCUUCCACAUCUUAACUCAAGACAAAGCUUCCUUGUCGGAAAGAACAUUCAAUGCAGCAAUGACUGUCAAGAGUGCAAUAAUGAAGAUGUACCACAGCAAGCCUGAUUUGGUUCCCAUUACAAGAGAGCUAUUAGCAAUGGCUCGUGUAGCUCAUAGCAGCUACCUUACAUACUUGCGAAAUGAGAAGGCUUUAAAAGAAGAAGCAGCUCGGAAGAAGUUGGAAACGGAUGAAAAUAAAUUAGUGGAAGCAGAGAGAAUACAAAAACUGAAAGAUGAGAGAAAGAUAAUAGCUGGUGCUGAGAACAAAUUGAAGAGUUUGCAAAGUGAAGAGCAGCAAAAAGAAAGAUAUGCAGGAAAUUGGAUUGGCCCAGGCCAUGUUGGAAGGUGUUAACAGAGUCAGAAAAGAAGCUGGAAAGAAGAAGCUUGAGGUUGAUACUGUACAACACUCAGUGGAGAAAAGGAAAUCUAAAAUUAUUUCUGACUACUUUUCAAAAUACUCAAAAAAUUAGAUAUUUUGUGUUGAUGGAGUUUUCUGACAUAAGUUUGCUGAUGUUGAAUUGUUCUUAAAUUGGACUAGAUACAGUUUUGUAGUAGGCCUAUGGUGUCUUCUUAAUUAAUAUAAUUUUUAGUUCAUUUUAUAAGACAUUAUAAAAAUGUUAAUCUUGACAGAAUUUUCAUGGAAACCACUUUUAAGUCACAGUUUACACAGUUGACUUCUCUUUCACCAUCUUAGGUAUGUGAAUAAUUUGUUUCUUUUAAUUUUGUUCUACUGGUGCGUAAUUUGUAACUUGUGUGUUUUUAAAUAGUUAAUAGAAUAACUGUCAGUAUUUUAUUAGAUCCAUAUAUAACCUAACAUUUUAUUUUACUACAAUCAGAAUUUUUUGUAACUUUUAUUUCAGUUAUUUCAGGUCACCUUUUUAGUCACUUAUUUUCCUGGAGAUCACUUUUUUUUUUCUCACUUUUUCUAUCACAAAGGUCACUUUUCUCACUUUUUUCCAGGCAAUAAAGUACUUUGAGGCCUGCAAUGUGAUCCAAGCAACAAUUCUAAAAGGAAAUUCUAAGGGAGAAGAUGUGUUGAUACCUCGCAUCCCAAUGGUAACAACUGACAUACCAUUUGAAAUUAAACGACUAAAAUUUCCAAGGCGGCGUGCUUUUGCUAUGACUGUAAAUAAAUCCCAGGGUCAGGCGUUGAGUGUUUGCGGCGUUAAUCUUGAAAACCCAUGUUUCUAUCAUGGACAGUUUUAUGUCGCCUGCUCCCGCGUUGGGAAACCGUCAGCUUUAUUUGUUUACGCGCCAGGCAACCAAACAAAAAAUAUUGUAUACCAUAAAGCAUUAGAAUGAAUAUCAACACAUUUAUAAAGUAUUGUAGUGUACGAAAUAAAAAAAUAUUUUUGUAAGUAAUCGUUGUUUAUUGUUGAGAAAAUAAUUAACGUGAUCACUCAGAAAUACAUUUUAUUUAUUUAAUUUUUUUUUGCCAUCUUUUACCAGAACGUGAAUCCCUAUUUCCCUUCGUCACGGCAGCACGAGUUAAUGUCUGGACCAAUUUCGCUACAUCCUUUUUUUUUUUUUUUGUUUUGUUUGUUAUUGUCAGGAGACGGUUCUUAUGAAGUUGCGUGGAAAAUUAGAAAAUUUAACAAAGUAAAACUUUGCGCAAUUGAUCGAGCUGCCUCACGUGCUAACUUACUAGGUGUGCUGUUACCACUACAAGAUAUGUGAAUAAUCAGUCUUUCAAGGUAGGGAGGUAGGUGGUAGGUAGCUAUGUCAGAGUAGGUUCGUAGAUAAGUAAUAUUGGAAAAAUUCUAAGGACAGGACAACGUCUGUCGGGUCAGCUAGUAUACGAAUAGAAUUUAAAUAAGUAUUGCUCACAUUGCCACAACUUUUCAAAAUGAUUGCAAUUUAUUAUGAUCGAUUUAGAAUGAUCGAGAAAGUUCUAGAAAUUUUCCGAAUGAUCUGGAAAGUUCCAAAAUGAGUGCAAUUGAUUAUGAUCGAUUUAGAAUGUUCAGGAAAGUUCUAGAAAAUUCUAAAAUGGAUGCAAUUUAUUAUAAGCAAUUUCAAAUGUUCGAGAAAGUUCUAGAAAUGUCUUGAAUGAUCUAGAAAAUUCUAAAAUGAGUGCAAUUUAUUAUAAGCGAUUUAAAAUGUUCGAGAAAAUUCUAAAAUUUUUUGGAUUGGUCUGUAAAGUUCCAAAAUGUGUACGAGUGUUGUUAUUGAUCUAAAAGAACGAAAUCGAAGUGAUGCACAUCUAAAUAUUCUUGAGUGAUCUGGUACUGGAAAUGUCGGUGUCUGAUGGUAUAUAAACGGAAAUUCAGUGACUUUUUGUCAAUUCAAUCGUGUUUGCAGUCGAGUGUAGAUCAAUUGGAAUCAAGAGUAAACAGUUACAGAAAAAAAUCAAGUGAUUUUCACAAGUGAAAAAGAACAAACUAUUUGAAUGUUCUGUACUGUUCUAAUACUAGAAAUUUCGGUCGCUAAUGGUAUAUAAACUGAAAUGCAGUGACUUUUCGUCAGUGUUAUCAUUGUAACAAUCAAGAGAUUUAUUUUGUGUAACUUUUUUACAUCGUUGUUAUAUAUAUACAAAAUGCGAAAGCAGAAAAAAGUAUUUACCAAAUCUAAAGUGGAUUCACAAAGAAGAAAAGUAACACGUAAAAAUGAAACAGAAGAACAAAGGGAAAAACAGCUUUCAAAUAUUCGUCAAGGCGUGAAAAGACUUAUAGAAAAACAAACCGAAGAAGAAAGAGCACGCACUAACAUAGAAACCCGAUCCCGAGUCAAAUUGAUUCGAAAUCAUCAGUCUGCUGACCAACGUGAAUUGGAAAAUAGAAAAAGUAAAGCAACAAUGGGCACUCUAUGCCAACAAGCUGCUACAUAUGAGAGUUUAGAACUUCAGGCAUUAUAUUAUGAUUGCCAAAAAAAUAUUUUGACCAUCCAAAUAUUGUCAUAGGAAAAAUGGAUACGAUAUGCGAGUAUUGCCAUGCACGGAAAUUCAAGGGAGAAACUGCUGGUAUGUGCUGCUCAAGUGGUAAAGUCAAUUUACCAGCAUUAAAUGUACCACCACCAGAAUUACUCGCAUAUAUGAAUGGAGAAUCACCAGAUUCCAAUCAUUUUCUACAAAUUAUACGUCGGUACAACUGUUGUUUUCAAAUGACUUCAUUUGGAGCUACUUUAAUAUGCCAGGAAGAAAAUUUCAGUCCAGUUUUCAAGGUUCAAGGUAAAAUUUAUCACCAAGUAGGGUCACUCAUGCCGAUGUCUAAUGAGACUCCAAAGUUUCUUCAAGUAUACUUUAUUGGUAACGAAGACCUUGAAAUAGAUCAACAUUGCUCUCACAUUAAGGGACUACAACGAGACAUUAUUCAAAAAUUAUGUCUACUUCAUAAUCAUAAUCACCUAAUCAAUGUGUUUAAAACUUCUUUAGACCAAAUGGUUGCAGACAAUCAUAAGACUGUCAUUCGCGCAGAUAAACGACCAGCCGGUCAACACGAACGAAGGUUCAAUGCACCUCAAACGAACGAAGUUGCUGUAGUAAUUGAUGAUAACGAAUAUAGUCGUGAUAUUAUUAUCCAACGCCGAAGUAAUCAAUUGCAACGUAUUGCUGAAACACAUCGUAGUUAUGAUGCACUACAGUAGCCGCUAAUUUUUUGGCAAGGUGAGGAUGGUUAUCACUUUAAUAUUCAACAAAUCGAUCUAGCUACAAAUGUCGAAACUAACAAAAAAGUAUCAGGUAUGCAAUUUUAUGCUUAUGGAAUUAUGACGAGAAAUGGUGAAUAUAACCAUAUUUUACAUUGUCAGCAAUUAUUUCAGCAGUUUAUUGUGAUUUAUGUAUGCUAAAAUUGAGAUGGAAAGAUUAGAAUUUAUUCGCCAUAAUCAACUAAAGUUGCGUUCGGAUGAAUAGGCUACAUUCAUUUGAACGAUGUUAUGAUGAAUGAUGGAAACGUCGAUAACAUGGGAAAAUUGGUCAUCUUACCAUCUACGUUUACUGGAAGUCCACAUCAUAUGCAUGAAUAUGCUCAAGAUGCGAUAACUUUGUCAGAAAACACAGCCGACCAUAUUUAUUUAUAACAUUUACAUGUAAUUCUUUAUGGGUGGAAAUAAAAAGAUGAAUUACAAUAUGGACAGGCGGCCAGUGAUCGACAUGAUAUUGUUGUCCAAGUUUUUUGUCAAAAAUAAAUUAAAUUUAUUGUAGCCAUCGUAAAAAAUCAAAUAUUUGGUGCUGUUACAUGCUGGAUGUUUUCAAUUGAAUGGCAGAAACGAGGAUUGCCACAUUCUCACAACUUAAUUUGAUUCAAAAAAGAAUUCAACCGAAUCAAAUAGAUUAUAUCAUCGAGGCUGAGUUUCCAAACCCGGAAGAAUAUCCUGAUCUUUAUAAUAUAAUAGUGAUAAACAAGGUUCAUGGCCCAUGUGGUGAACUAAAUAGAAGAUCCCCGUGCAUGAAAGAUGAAAAAUGUACAAAACGUUAUCCGAAGCCACUUUUGAACGAAACAAUCACCGGUGAAGACGGAUAUCCGAAAUACAGACGUCGACCACCAGAAUAAGGCGGAUUUACAGCUAAAAUUAAAGUACGAGGCAAUGAAGAAAUUCAAAUUAACAAUCAAUGGGUAGUUCCAUACAAUCAACUUUUAUCCAAAAUGUUUAAUGCCCAUAUCAAUGUUGAAUACUGUAGUUCUGUCAAAAAGAUUAAAUAUGUGUGCAAAUAUAUUAAUAAAGGCAGUUUUUACGGUAACCAAGAAAACCAACAUGAUGAGAUAAUACAGUAUCAAAUGGGUCGUUACAUCAAUACCAACGAAGCGAUUUGGCGAAUUUUAAGUUUUCCCAUUCACGAUCGAGUUCCGCUGGUUCUCCAUUUAUCCGUCCACUUAGAAAAUGGACAACGUGUGUUUUUCAGUACAGAAAAGGCACAAAAAGUUGCGACAGAACCACCAACACGAACAACUUUUAACAGCAUUUUUUCGAAUUAUGCCAGAAAGAUCCAUUUGCUAAGACUUUACUUUAUUCAGAAGUACCAAGUUAUUAUACAUGGAAUACAACAAGUAAACAAUAUAAUUCUCGAAUACGUGGAAUGCCAGUAAAAGGACAUGAUGGAGUAUUCAAGAGUAACACAAUAGGACGAGUCUACAUAGUGCAUCCAAGAAACGCUGAAUGUUUCUAUCUACCUUUAUUACUACACACUAUUCGUGGCCCAACGUGAUUUGAAGACCUAAAAACUAUCAAUGGUUACAUUUGUGAAAAGUAUCGAGAGGAAUGUCAAAGAUUAGGCCUACUAGAAAACGAUAAUCAUUGGGAGUUAGCUAUGAAUGAAGCAGUCCAAAUGGCAACAGCGAAACAAAUUCGUGAGCUAUUUGCAAUUAUAUUAACUACAUGUAAUCCUUCUAAUCCAAAUCGACUAUGGCUUAAAUAUCGAGAAUAUAUGAGCGAUGACAUCUUGGCUGACUACAACGACAAAACCCGGACUUAGAAAUUUAUUUUAAUGAAGAAAUUUUUAACAAAGCUUUGAUUUUGAUAGAAGAUAAAUGUUUAACAAUAUCUAACCAAACGUUAGUACAACUAGGUGUUCAAUCUCCUAAACGAAGUCAUUUGGAUGCUAUGAACAGUGAAUUUUUAAAAGAAACAUAUUAUAGAAUUGACAAAUUGGGGCUUUACAUCCAACACAACAAACCCGUAUUAAUUUAGAGUCAAAAAUAGGCAUAUGAUAUAAUAAUGUAUUACUAUAGAAAACAGAAAGGUGGAAUAAUAUUUUUAGAGGCACCUGGCGGCACCGGGAAAACAUUUUUGAUCAAUUUUAUUCUAGCUGAAAUCCGUGCAAAUAAAGAUUGUUCUCGCCCUAGCAUCAUUGGGGAUAGCGGCUACACUCAUGGAUGGUGGACAAACAGCGCAUUCUGGUUUGAAAUUACUAUUAAAUGUAGCUGACUAUGAAUUUCCGGUAUGUGACAUCACAAAAUCAUCAGCACGUGGACAAAUAUUGAAACAUAGUCCAGGAAAGAUAUGAAAAAAACAUGGACAAAUUGCAAGAAAAGGUUUUUUACAUCAAAAUUCUCAGAAAAAUUCGUAGAAUAACAUAUCCAAAAUCCCCCGAAAUCCACUAUUUUUGGUACCUUUUUUCCGGGGUUUUGUUCCGGAAAUACGCGAAAAAAAAUAAUAACUAAAAAACGGUGCAUCUGACAACAAAACUUAUUAUCUUUGAAAGAUUUGUGCAAUGGGAGUGCAUGACUUGAUGUAGGCUUUGGACAUACGCCAUUGCUUAGCACAUGUAUGUCUGCAGAAGAAAACUACAAAAAAACACAAAUGACAAAAAACACAAAUUAAGCAAAAAUUGCUGUUGUCAGGAUUUGACGCCACACAAUAUUCCACAACAGGAAUAUGAUCAACAAACAAGGAAAAAACAAAGAAAAAUUGACUAACAGAACGAAAAAAAAACCACAAAUGAUGACAGCACAAAAAUUCCGAACCCAAAAAAAUUCAACACAACAGUUGAAACGAGACAAAAAACACAGCAAAACCAAAAGACGAUACAAACACAAUAGUUUUCCAAAAAAACAAAAAACAAAAGAGAAAUGAAAAAACCCCCACAAUUGAUGACAGCACAAAAAAUAUUGAACCCAAAAAAUUCAGCACAACAGUCAAAACGAAACAAAAAACACAACCAAACGAAAAGCUUGUUUCUGUUUUAGAAAACUGUUGUGUUUGUUUCGUCUUUUCGUUUGGUCGUGUUUUUGUCUCGUUUUGACUGUUGUGCUGAAUUUUUUGGGUUCAAUAUUUUUUGUGCUGUCAUCAUUUGUGGGGGUUUUUUCGUUUCUCUUUUUGUUUUUUUGGAAAACUAUUAUGUUUGUUUCGUCUUUUCGUUUUGCUGUGUUUUUUAUCUCGUUUUAACUGUUGUGUUGAAUUUAUUUGGGUUCGGAAUUUUUGUGCUGUCAUCAUUUGUGGUUUUUUUUUGUUCUGUUAGUCCAUUUUUCUUUGUUUUUUCCUUGUUUGUUGACCAUAUUCCUGUUGUGGAAUAUUGUGUGGCGUUAAAUCCUGACAACAGCAAUUUUUGCUUAAUUUGUGUUUUUUGUCAUUUGUGUUUAUUUGUAGUUUUCUUCUGCAGACAUACAUGUGCUAAGCAAUGGCGUAUGUCCAAAAGCCUACAUCAAGACAACAAAACCUGUAGAGACAAAAAUUAAAGAACAUUAACUUUUCCAUAACAUAUCCAAAGUUCAAGCAAAUCCGCUUAUAAAUUCUGCUUGGUUUUCCGGGAUUAGUCCCGGAAAAAAAUAUUAAAAAUGAAAUAAAUCGAAAAUUGUGCACUUUACAGCAUAAUGAUUUAGGAAAAAGAUAAAGUAAACAAUGUUUUUCUUAAUAUGUUAGAAUUUCACACAGAUCAACAUUUAAUUGUUUUUUUUUUGUUUUCCAGGAAAUGUCCCGGAAAAAAGUUACCAAAAGAGAGAAAAAAAACGGAAACCGUGCACCGAACUUCAAAAUGAAUCGUGAAUUAAAUUAAGGGCAAAAAAAUUGUAUUAUAUAAUUGACCUUUAUCACAAUAAAUUAUGGAUUAGCAACUACUGUAUUUGAUGGAUAUGGGAAAACUCACAGUACUAAAGACACAGCACAUAUGAGAAGAACAAGAGGUAAUGCAUCACCUGUAGUUGAAUUCACAGGAGAAAUGCAACUAUCACUCCGUAAAGAUAUGUUUCUUUUGAAGGAGCGAAAUAAAGGACAAUUUUUAAGGUUAUUAGAAUACAUGUACGCGAAGCAGAAUGUCCUGUUGUCGAAGCACCAGGUGAUGCAGAUAUUUACAUUGUCCAAGAAGAUCUAAAAUGUGCAAAAGAACAGUUGACAACAGUUAUAGGAACAGAAACAAAUUUACUUGUCCUUUUACUCUACUACUUUGACCCACAAUCACAUAACUGCUUGUGUUUAAAAAGUGAACAAAGGCAGAAGAAAACAUAUCACAUUAAGGAGCUAAAGCUGAAGCUCGGUGAUGAAAUUUGUAGUAAUAUUCUUUUCUGCCAUGCAUUCAUGGGAUGUGACACAUCACACAUAGCCUAUAUGGUAUAGGAAAAGGGAAAAUAAUGGAUCUGAUCCUUGCCUUCAGGCAACUUGCGAAAGUAUUUUCAGAUAGUAUUCCCAGUGUGUCAAAGAAGACAUUGUAAAAUCGGGAGAACAGCUGCUAGUACGCCUGUACAAUGGGUCGAGAAGUGACACACUCGACACUUUGCGUUUUAAAGUGUUUAGUGAGAAAGCAGCUACUAGUUCCAAAUGUGUACAACCAGAACAGUUACCUCCAACUAGUGCUUCAGCUCGUUUCCAUUUCUUAAGGGUUUUCUAUCAGAUACAAGAAUGGAAGGGAAUUAAGAUGAAUCCAGAAGAAUGGGGAUGGAGAAAAUGUGGCCACCUUCUCUUGCCAAUUUCGACAGACAAGCCAACAGCUCCGGAAUGCCUUUUGAAGGUAAUCAGGUGCACUUGCAAGGAAGAUGGUUGCGGUGCAUCCAACUGCAGUUGUAGGAAACACGGCAUCUCAUGUUCUUCGGUUUAUGGAAACUGUCAUGGAUCAACCUGUAAAAACCGGCGUAAAUUACCUCCCGAGGAAUGAAAUUACUGUGACGGCUUUUAAGAUGUCUGCUGUCACCAUUGAUGACCUCCCUCCAGAAUUAAUGAUGAAAAUCUUUGAGUCCUUGAGGCCGGAGGAACUGUUGAGUGUCCAGGACGUGAGCACCAAGUGGCAGGUGUUUGCUCGAACCUCUUCUGUGUGGAAGACCUUUGUGUAUUCACCAGAGACAGAUUCCAGCGAGGAAGAUGUGAUCGCUUUUGUGGAGAAGUGUCCUAUGUUGAAGCACAUUCAUACCAAAAAAUGUUUUAACAAAGAUAAGAUUAUUCCUGCUGUCAUCAAAAAUUGUUAUGAUAUUCACAGUCUUUGUGUUGAGUUCAUGCCAUCACUGGAAAUUUCACAACUUGAAGCUUUAUUUGAAGCCUUUCCAAAUAUAGACACUUUGUUGAUCAGGAUUAAGCAACAUAAUGCAUCUGAGAUUGUAGACAGACUGGGUAGAUGUACAAAGCUGAAGAAACUCAUACUAAGUGGUCAACGUUGUCAUGACGGUGUAUUAAAGCCAAUUGUUGAUGGAUGUCCUUCUCUAGAAUACUUGAGCUUUAUUGGGGGGUUUCCAAAUGAUCCUAAAUCAGAUAUUCUGUAUGUGUUACAAAAUAUGAAUGAUAGGUUAUCGUAUCUGCGGUUUGGGUUUUCCCCGAUAACACAGCAGAUUGUAAAUUUACUUGGAACUUUCACUAAACUUGAAGAAGUUUUGUUACAUGAUUCAACACUUAACCGUAAUGUGGAUUUUAGACCCCUGGCCAACAUAAAAACCUUGAAAUGUUUAAAAUUUCAAACUUUUGCUUCAGAAUUCAGUGAAAUGUGCAGGUUUUUAGAUGUUUUGUUUGAUCAACCUUUUCCUUUGCUAGAAAAGUUGGACAUAUGUUUUGUUCAUUGUGAGUAUGACAAGACUGUGUUACAGAAAAUUUGUCAAUGUUACCCAAACUUGAAAUAUUUGCGCUUGUAUGGAAAACAUCCUGCUGAUAUCAAAGAUGGUUUUAAGGAUAUCUGUAAGUUGCAGAGACUAGAAAGUCUAGGAUUUUCUUCAAGUAAGACUGUAACGGAUGAUGAUAUUGAAACGUUAAGUCAUUGCCUUAAGCUGAAAGAACUUGAUUUAAGUGCAAAUCACUUGCUUACAGAUAAAACUAUUGUGCACCUUGUGAAAUGUAAGACCCUAGAAACUCUGUAUCUUAGUUAUUCUUCAAUUACUGGGGAAAACCUGCAUAUUGUUGCUGAAAAUUUGAAACGACUCAAAAUUCUGGAUGUAAAGCAGUGCAAAUAUUUGGAUGAAAAGAAUUUAUCAGCACUUGCUGAUAAGAUGCCUCUUUUAAAAAUAAUUAAAGAUGGAGGUAUUUGUUAUGGAUGAGAUAUUUUAUGAGUGUACAUAAGAUACAAAGAUUAUUAUAAUGUUAUCAGUGCUUUGGUAUAACAAAUGCUUGUUGGUUAUAGAUAAAGUAUAUAUUUGUGGAUUAUCUUCCAUAGAUUUAGCACUGACAGAGGUUACAGCUGUUCCAGUGGAUGGACCUUGAACUAGAUUUUUAAUAAAUGUUCAUGUUCAUUCAUAUAAAUAUAAAAAAAUUUACUGGAAUGUUUGUAUUAAAAAUAUAAACAAAUUAAUGUAUUAAUUUUAUAAUAUACCUAGUGCUGCUUACAUAAUUGUUAGUUCUGUUGCAUAACCAGUUGUUUUAACUUCCUAACACAUUAAUUUGAAUGAUAUUUAAUAAGUUAUACUGUAGUUGGAUUUUAUAACUUCAAGUUUAUUUGUUGUUUGUUAUCACAAAUAGUGACCACUGACCUUGAAAGUACAUGGGAUAAUUUUUUUCAUCAAGAUAUAACUUUUGGUACAUGAAGUAGAUGAAUGCAAUUGAUGUCAACAAAGAUUUUAUGUUUAUUUAUUUGUCAAGUUAAUGCAAAUAUGAUUUUAGAAAUUUGUAAAAAUUCAAAUUGUACUUAAAAUCAAUCAGAUCUUUUUGUUAUGUAACACAUGUGUAUAUUUAGUUUGGCUAGUUAUGUACAAACAUAUUAUGUACAAAAUUAUAAAUUGUACAUAUUCAAACUAUACUUUAAUGUGGGGGGACCAUUUCUUGUAUGACACAAAUAUGUCACCAACUUGUUCAUGUCUUACUUAUUUUGAAAUAAAACAAAAAGUCUGAACCA
This is an RNA transcript of Bacillus rossius redtenbacheri, 20889 nucleotides long. RefSeq lists it as uncharacterized. The transcript has 6 exons. Lineage: Eukaryota; Metazoa; Arthropoda; Insecta; Phasmatodea; Bacillidae. The record is from RefSeq and is a predicted model, not a curated record.